Molecule: long non-coding RNA, 3865 nt
Organism: Callithrix jacchus (white-tufted-ear marmoset)
Lineage: Eukaryota; Metazoa; Chordata; Mammalia; Primates; Cebidae
Source: Ensembl
AGAACCUCCUAGCUGACCUGUAGACCACAGAUGCAUGAAGAAUGUCAAGCUGAAUUCAGAAGAGCUUACCUACAUCCAAAAUUGUUGACCUAUAAUUUUUAUCCAGUGUGCUAGGUAAAAUAUUUUUGUAUUAACCUAUCACAAUGCCCUGGUCAGACCAUAAAACCUGUGCUGUGUUUUAAUAUGUGGACCCCUUAACCCUGGAACUCAAUCUGAUUGUCAGUCUUAGGAGAUAAUGGGGAGGAAUAUUUCAGUCAAUAAAGAACAAAAGCUUUCCAGUGUUCCCAACUCAGUGGAAUUGUCUUAGCUUGUUUUGGUUUGUUGUUAUUGUUGUUUCCUGUUCUCAUAGGGUUAGGCUCUAAGAUAAGAAAAUGGCAGCAGACAAUCCUGGACUUUCUGAGCUCCAUGAAGUUCAAUGAAUAACUAAUGUCACCUGUUUUGGCAUUUAUUACCCUUACCAAUAUCAGCCAUUGUGUGAGAGGUAAAAGCCAUUCUGAGUGCUAGCUCUUCAUUGUCCUUUCACCCUAAAACUGUUUUCAUGUGUGGGUCUCUGUAAUCAGGGAAAUAAGUCUGAUUCCUUAUCUUAAUAAAACAGUAGGGAAGAAUCCAGGAUGUAAUAAGGAAAACCCAUCAUUUGUCUAAACUAUUAUUCUUCUCUGCAUUAUAGAUAAAACCUCAGUUUAAUGGGGGAAUGAAGAGGAGAAACUGUUUGAAAUUCACCUUCUGAACCAUUAACAAUACCUGGAAGGAUAAAGCUAAGAAAGUGAGACUUAAAUAAGAAAUCUUGUCAAAAAAAAAAGAAAGUGAGACUUGAGUUCUUCCAACCUGUACUUCACCAGAGCUUCUCAUCUGAUUCAUUUGUAAAUAUUGCUGUUGUUUUCUUAGUGGUACAAGCUGCUUCAGACUGCACGAACAUUGUCAUACUCAAUCUUCACAGCUACUCCAUGAGAUUGAAGAAUCACAAAUGGAAGCUCAAAAUACUUAUCCAAAUUUCUGAUUUCAAACAUGGAUUCACAACUCCAGCCUUAAAGACAGUGUAUAAACUUUUGUCUGUUUGUGAACAUCAUAAUGCAGAUAUAGAGUUCUGGUGUUGGUUUCUUAUUGUAAACUUUCUCAUUUCUACAGUUCAAAGUUUUUGACUCUGAUUGUAUUCUGUAUUAAGUUCACUGAUGAAAUUAGCAGAAAGAGAAAAAUCUCCGAGUCUCUACAUGUAUCAACAUAAAUUGUUCCACAGAUUUUACUCAGUAACAAUUUCCAAUUUCUAGUUUUUCUCAUUCAUUCACAACCUAUAAUGUUACAGACAAUUGACAUCAUGUUACUUCAGCCAUAAAACUAAGACCAAAGACACACAUUUUAAAGACACAUAUUAAACUGUGAUGGGCUUGAUUUAAUUUAUAUGCAUAUGUGAAAGCAACCUGUAUUUUGAUGACAGAUAAUUCCUAAAAAACAGGUCAAAAAGUGUUACUCAUAAAAUGGUUCAUUUCUGCAAUAGCAAUAUUGUAUUUGAAAGUUUUGAAUCUUAGCAAAGCAUUGGUAUAAAUCACAGACAUAAUUGACAAUAGGUGAUUUUAAAAAGAGAGAUAUACCCUAGUCCUGAUGGCUAAAGGAACAUAGAGCAUUUCCUCUUCUAUAGUGUUGUCAGUCACAUAUUUGAGGGGCACUGAAAUAUGGUUUCAUCUGACUGUUUUCUCCUACAUUACAAAUUCAUGUGUCCUUUCUAUGCUGCUCUAACUUUUUAUAUGCUAAGAUUUUAUUCAUUCUUAAAAAUUCAGGCCAAUAUUGCUAUUUUGUUAAAACCCUUUAAAAGUCACUUCCCAAAAGAAAAAUAAAAAGUAAUAAUGGUCUCUUCUGUAGUUUAACUGAACACCUGUAGAGGAGGGUUCAUCCUACUCCAUCUCUCUCUUUUUUACUUCUGUUAAAAUUUGUCAUAUGUCUAUUGCUGCCUCCAGGAUAGAAGUGCAUCUCUUCAUCUUUGUUCAGGGCAUAGCAUGGUACACAAGACACGUAAUAGGUUCUCGCCAGGGUGUUCUAAGUUGAAUCAAGUUAAGUUCAAGUAAAUUUUAAAAUCUAUGAAAUUUAAAUGUUGACUUUAAUAGAGGCAUCUCAGGUCUAAUUCUGACUUCUUUGCAUAUAUAUUAUUAUCAGAAGAAAUUCUUAAAAUGACCAUUCUGAGAUUUUUGACUAUGUCUUUUUAAUUUUACAUGAAACACAUAUACAUUGUAGAUAAAAAUUAGAAAUGCAAAUGAACCAAAAGAGAAAUAAUAGAACCAUCUAAAAUUCUACCACCCAAGGGUAACUACUAUUGACAUUAAGUAUAUCUUUCCAGAUAUAGUUCCCAAGGUAUAUUACUCAUGUGUUCUCAAUGGAGAGAACAAGAGCAAUGACACUAGGUCAAGGGAGCUAAAGGCGAAUUGUGGUCAGUUAGUCUAGAACUGUUAUCUACUUAGCACUAUAGGAGGAGGAUCUUAAAAAAUUAAUCUUUAUUUUACCUUGUCUUCUAUCAGUUUUCCAUUGAUCAUAUAUAGCAGUGAAAACACUCAGCAUAAGAUUCUAAUUUACUUUUAUAUUAUUUUUACUCUUCUAAAAAAUCCAAUUAGAGAUAUAGAAUAAUUUAGCUAAAUGUUUUAAAAUUUAAGUUAUAUAGUUAAUUUAGUUAUAUCAAUAUCAUCAAAUGAUAUCAAUUAUGCUUUUCAUUUUUAUAAUUAGUUUUUUAUUUUGUUUAAAAAUUUUAAUAGAAUUAUACAUAAUAGAAUUAAAACUUGAGAAAUUCAUUUAUGCAAUGUUAUCUAUGAUUUUUAACUAUUUUACAUUUUUCAGGUAGUAUAUAAAAUUUACCUACAAUUUUAUAUCUUGUCAGGUUUCUAGGGUAAAAAUUACCUUAUAGUUAAUCAGGUUAAAUGAUAUGUAUUUUAGUAAAGUAACUAAUUUCUCCAUUGAUAAGCUAUGGUAUAGCCAAGUGUGGAUUUUUAAGGUAUAUGCUCUUAGAAUAUAGAGAAAUUAUUGGCAUCCAACUACAAUCUGUAGUAUGGAAGCCUUAGAUUGUUUCUAAUUACUUGACCAUUUCACAUAACUUUCCUUUGAUAAAUAUAAGAAACAGUCUUAAUCUUUCACUGAUAUUGUGCCAUAUAGGCCUGUAGCCUGUUUCUAGUCCAAAGCUUUUAUUGGCCAACUCACAGAUGUCCUCCUAACAAGCACCAUUUUUCUAAAACAAGAGUAUUUGGGUUGGAAUAGAUUUUCAGAGUUCUAUCUGACGUCAUUGUUACGUAUCAAUAAAUUACUAAAGAGAAAAGAGGCAAUCCAGGUUGUAUAGAGUUAAGAAAGAAAUUCAUGUUAUUAAAAAUGUACACAGUAGGAUUCCAUCAGGAUUCAAAAGGGUUUAUUUACAGAAAGAAUAAUUACAACUUGAGGAACCACGGCUAAACUCUUAGCACUCCAAAAGGCUAAGGGCUGAGAGAACCGUGAAGAAGCCUGAAUGGAUGUCAGAAAACCCGGUUGUCUUGAAAGAAGCAGUGAACUGUAGUCAAAAGACACAGUAACCUAAAUGGACUCCUCAAGACUGAGGAAUUGAAUAUUCACUUCAAUUUCUGUGUUCCUUCUAAUCUCCUUCUGGGCAAACCUAAGUUAUACCUGAAGCCUUGCAAACCCAUUGGUGUAAUUCAUUUAUCGUGGAGAAGAUUGAAGACUUGAUCUGAAGAGGAAACAGAAAAUAAGCAGAACAGUUGGUGGACAUAAGAUUUAAAAAAAAAAAAAAACACAUGAAACUAAAGAGCAAAUUAAUGUCAAACGAAAAAAUGUUUUAUUUUAUUGUACAAGAGCUGAGAAUAUACUUAACAAAUAAGUCAGAAACUGACAGAGAUUAAAGAAU